UGUGUCAGCCGCCGCGGUAAUACGGAGGAUGCAAGCGUUGUCCGGAAUUACUGGGUGUAAAGGGCGUGUAGGCGGGGCGUCAAGUCAGGUGUGAAAUUCCGAGGCUUAACUUCGGGUGUGCAUCUGAAACUGAUGUUCUUGAGUGUCGGAGAGGAAAGUGGAAUUCCCAGUGUAGCGGUGAAAUGCGUAGAGAUUGGGAGGAACACCAGUGGCGAAGGCGGCUUUCUGGACGAUAACUGACGCUGAGGCGCGAAAGCGUGGGUAGCAAACAGGAUUAGAUACCCUGGUAGUCCACGCCGUAAACGAUGGAUACUAGGUGUAGGAGGUAUCGACCCCUUCUGUGCCGGAGUUAACACAAUAAGUAUCCCACCUGGGGAGUACGGCCGCAAGGCUGAAACUCAAAGGAAUUGACGGGGGCCCGCACAAGCAGUGGAGUAUGUGGUUUAAUUCGAAGCAACGCGAAGAACCUUACCAGGUCUUGACAUCCCUGGACAGCUGUGGAAACACAGUUUCCCUUCGGGGCCAGGAGACAGGUGGUGCAUGGUUGUCGUCAGCUCGUGUCGUGAGGUGUUGGGUUAAGUCCCGCAACGAGCGCAACCCUUGCCUUUAGUUGCCAUCAUUAAGUUGGGGACUCUAAAGGGACUGCCGGUGACAAAUCGGAGGAAGGUGGGGAUGACGUCAAAUCAUCAUGCCCCUUAUGAUCUGGGCUACACACGUGCUACAAUGGGUGGUACAGAGGGAAGCGAAGCCGUGAGGCGGAGCGAAUCCCAGAAAGCCACUCUCAGUUCGGAUUGCAGGCUGCAACUCGCCUGCAUGAAGUCGGAAUCGCUAGUAAUCGCAGGUCAGCAUACUGCGGUGAAUACGUUCCCGGGCCUUGUACACACCGCCCGUCACACCACGAAAGUUCGCAACACCCGAAGCCGGUGGCCUAACCGCAAGGAGGGAGCCGUCGAAGGUGGGGCGGAUGAUUGGGGUGAAGUCGUAACAAGGUAGCCA
RNAcentral lists this ribosomal RNA (996 nucleotides) under uncultured bacterium. Its description in RNAcentral is "bacterial SSU rRNA". It matches the Rfam family "Bacterial small subunit ribosomal RNA", at positions 504 to 1502 of the family's 1533-position model. The record is from RNAcentral.